CACGGGGGUUGCGAGCGUUGUCCGGAAUUACUAGGCGUAAAGGGCAGGCAGGCGGAUCCAUAAGUUUAUCGUUUAAGGCGUCGACUUAACCGGCGUAGGGCGGUAGAUACUGUGGAUCUGGAAUGCGGUUGGGGAAGACAGAAUUCCUGGUGUAGCGGUGGAAUGCGCAGAGAUCAGGAGGAAUACCGAAGGCGAAGGCAGUCUUCCAAGCCGUUAUUGACGCUCAACUGCGAAGGUGUGGGUAUCAAACAGGAUUAGAUAUCCGCGUAGUCCCU
This 275-nucleotide ribosomal RNA is filed under the name uncultured prokaryote. Its description in RNAcentral is "partial 16S ribosomal RNA". It matches the Rfam family "Bacterial small subunit ribosomal RNA", at positions 524 to 798 of the family's 1533-position model. The record is from RNAcentral.